GCCGGGUUGGUGGAAUCGGCAUACACACGGUCCUCAAAAGACCGCGCCUCACGGCUUGCGGGUUCGAGUCCCGCACCCGGCA
This 82-nucleotide transfer RNA is filed under the name Streptomyces rishiriensis. Its description in RNAcentral is "tRNA-Leu". It matches the Rfam family "tRNA". From Rfam's summary of the family: Transfer RNA (tRNA) molecules are approximately 80 nucleotides in length. Their secondary structure includes four short double-helical elements and three loops (D, anti-codon, and T loops). The record is from RNAcentral. RNAcentral also lists the same sequence under 3 other names. Lineage: Bacteria; Bacillati; Actinomycetota; Actinomycetes; Kitasatosporales; Streptomycetaceae.